GACGAACGCUGGCGGCGUGCUUAACACAUGCAAGUCGAACGGUAAGGCCCUUCGGGGUACACGAGUGGCGAACGGGUGAGUAACACGUGGGUGAUCUGCCCUGCACUUCGGGAUAAGCCUGGGAAACUGGGUCUAAUACCGGAUAGGACUCCGGACUGCAUGGUCUGGGGUGGAAAGCUUUUGCGGGGUGGGAUGGGCCCGCGGCCUAUUAGCUUGUUGGUGGGGUGAUGGCCUACCAAGGCGACGACGGGUAGCCGGCCUGAGAGGAUGACCGGCCACACUGGGAAUGAGAGACGGCCCAGACUCCUACGGGAGGCAGCAGUGGGGAAUAUUGCGCAAUGGGCGCAAGCCUGAUGCAGCGACGCCGCGUGAGGGAUGACGGCCUUCGGGUUGUAAACCUCUUUCAGCAUCGACGAAGCGAAAGUGACGGUAGGUGUAGAAGAAGGACCGGCCAACUACGUGCCUGCCGCCGCGGUAA
RNAcentral lists this ribosomal RNA (478 nucleotides) under uncultured bacterium. RNAcentral's name for it is "partial 16S ribosomal RNA". It matches the Rfam family "Bacterial small subunit ribosomal RNA", at positions 28 to 523 of the family's 1533-position model. The record is from RNAcentral.